AGGCCUUACUGUCCAAAAAAUAACUCUGCCAAAGAGUAAUUUCCGGACAGCCAAGCUCAUCCAGUCGUUGCACCACUCGAUCCCAGCUUAGGUAACACUAGCCGACAAUUUUGACAUUUUUUUUCUGCUCUGAAACCAAACUUGUUUUUUUAUGUUGCUUUGAUAAGGUACAUAUAUAAUUUGAAUAUAAAAAAAAUUGCUAGGUCCAGGUUAAGAGAAAAAUAAAAGAAAAGUUUUUGCAAAAAAUAUAUUGAAUAUUACAAAUUUUUAUCUCUCAAUUUAUAUUUUCUUGUACUUUUUUGAACUUCUGCUGUAUUGGUAGUCAGGAUUAUUACGUAAACAUAUCCAGCAAUAGUCUGCCAGCAUGCUAGGAGUCCAUUUGCCUUGAUACCUUUUCUCCAUACUCAAUAUGUCUUGGUGAAAUCUCUCCCCAUGUUCAUCACUGACUGCACCUAAAUUGGGGGGAAAGAAAUCCAAGUGCGAAUGUAGGAAAUGUAUUUUCAGGGACAAGUUACACCCUAAAGCCUGAAAAUUCGUCAAUAGGCUUGAUAUGAGUUCUUCAUAAUCGGGUGAUUUGGUGUUACCCAAAAAAUUUUUUACAACCUCAACAAAUGAAAGCCAUGCUUUUUUUUCUAGCGUAUUUAGUUUAGAGACAAAGUUUUGAUCCUUCAUAACUCGUUGUAUGUCUGGCUCCACAAAAAACCCUUCUUUUAAUUUCACAUCACUAAGUCUCGGAAAUAUACUUUUAAGGUAUUGAAAACCUUCUCCCGUUUUAUCCAUUGCUUUUACAAAAUUUUUCAUUAAGCCUAAUUUUAUAUGAAGGGGUGGCAAUACAAUAUUCUCGGGUUCAACAAGACGAAGAUUGGACACACUUUUCUGAUUAGGUACAUAGUCUGUUCCUUUGGCCACUCUUUUUGGAUAUAGUGUUUGCUUCGAGCUCUGCUAUCCCAUUCGCACAUAAAACAGCAAAAUUUUGGGUAACCAGCUUGCAUACCUAGUAACAUCCCAACUACUUUUAAAUCAGAACAAAUUUUCCAAGAAUGUUUAGCAUACUGUAUUUUUUGUUUUGUUUUUUUGAUAUUUUCAUAGGUUUCUUUGAUAUGUACUCCAUGCGCUAGAGGUACAGAUGGAAGUUCGUUACCAUCAUGUAACAAAACCGCCUUUAAACUUAUUUUCGAUGAAUCAAUAAAUAGUCUCCACUGAUCAGGUGAAUAGGUACAAAACAUUUUUUUCAUAAGCCCAUAUACAUCUUUGCAAUAGACUAGAUCGUUUUCCUUUUCAAAGAAAUCCACAACACUACUAUGUCGUUUCCGAUAAGUACAGAUUCUUGUCUCUGGAUGCAAUAAAUUCCAUUGUUUUAGUCUAGAAGCUAAAAGUUCUGAUUUCUCCUUUGGUAAAUCAAGGUCACGAAUCAGAUCAUUAAGUUCGCUUUGAGUUAUCAGAUGUGGCUCUGUUGUUGACCUUGUUGGUGGUCAUCGUCGUCAAAAUCGGUGUGGUCGGAAGCAUAAACAUCAACACUACUUUCGAAGCUGCUACAGCGGCAAGGGGUGACAAUCGGCGGCCAUUACUUUACUUAUGCCAUGGAAUUUCUAUUGCUACGAAUAUGGAAAUGACAAAUUUGAUAGAAAAGCCGCGCUGUGCCGAAAGAAACGAACAAACGAUCGCCGAUUGUCACCGCUUCGCUUGCUACUCGAACAAGGUUGCGUAGAUUCAUAUUGAGCAAGGUUGCGCAACCUGAAUCUAUCGCAACCUUUUCCGAACUCGUAUAAGAAGUAUAACUUCAAUAAUAUUAUCGUAAUUGGACCUAAGGAUUUUUUUUUAAUUAUUUUUCUAAUGAUAUACAUACUAACAGGAACCAAAAUAUAUAAUUUUUAUUUCAGAGCAAAAUCCAUUGUCGGCUAGUGUUAUUUAAAAAAAAUGGUCUUCAGGUUGGUACUUAUCCUGUAAAGAAAAAAUUUGAUAUUCGUUUGUUUUGCUGUGAUGCUCCCGCUCGAGCCUUUGUUACAGGUGUACAGUCGCACACUGGAAAAAGUAGUUCUAAAUGUGAUCAAGUGGGUGACUACAAAGAAAGGAGAGUUUGUUUUUCAAAACAAAUAAAACAUUUAAGAACUGACCAAUCUUUUAAAAAUAGAAGUGACAUAUCACAUCACAUUAAUCCUUUUAAAUUUAGAGAAAGCAUUUUAGAGUCAGGAAAUUUCAAAAUGGUCUCCCAAUUUCCUUUCGACCCAAUGCACCUUGUAGAUCUUGGUGUAUGUAAAAAGUUGCUUCAAUUGUUAAUUAAAAAAGGCAAUAUAAACGUAACGAAAGUUAACGAAAAAAUAACAUUUCUCUCCAAUUUAGUUCCUUCAGAGUUCGGCCGAAUAUGUAGAAGUUUAGAUGAAAUCAAUAUUUGGAAAGCGACAGAGUUUAGGCAGUUCUUAUUGUAUAUAUAUAGGUAUAUUUGUUCUAAAAGAUUGCGUUAGUGGUGACCAUUACUACCAUUUCCUCUUAUUGCACGCAGGUAUAAGGCUGCUAUCAUUCAAGAAGUCAUAUAGCACUGAAGCCAACGUUGCCCAACAAAUCUUUGGAAAAAUUCGUUGAUUUGUUUGGAAAUAUAUACGGAGACCAUUUAGUUAGUUACAACAUACAUGAUUUACUCCAUUUAACUGAACGUACUAAGCUAUAUGGGCCUCUAGAUAACUUUUCCGCUUAUAAGUCUGAAAAUCACAUUCAAUUAAAAAAAAAACUUAUAAAUAAGCCCAAUAAAAUCCUGCAGCAAUUACAUUUAAGGCUUGAAGAAGGAAAUAGUGCAGAUUUUAGUUGCAAUAAAAUUUCUAAAAUUAAUUAAUUUAAUAUAGAUUAUAAAAAAGAAAAAAACUCUUAUUGUUUUAGUCAAAAAUUAGGCCCCAUAGAAGUAAUAGGCAUGACAGACGAGUCUGGUAGUGCUAUAGUAUCGGCGCAUUGUUUCUUGGGUGUUGAAAGCUACUUUCAAGAACCAUUGGAAUCGUCAACUGGUUUAGGUAUUUUGUUGGCAAAUAAAUUAGAUCCAAAAUUGUUUAAAAUCGAAAAAGAUGAUAUAGUUUAUAAAUACUUUUCUAUUCCACAUGAGGGCAAGUUUCUUCUUAUACCAAUUUUACAUCAUCCAUUUCAUGAGUUUUCAAAUUAGUACUAUUUAAAGUAAUUGUGGUAUUUUCCGAAUGUAUUUUAUUUCAUGAUAUGAAUUAUUUAAAAGAAUUUUGAUACUGCCAUUUUUUUUAUUUUACGAACAGAUGGAUUCACCAGCGCUCUUUGAUGCAAUUGAUUUUGAAGAAUUCCCAACAACGUCUUCGACUCCUGUAGAAGAACAACUGACAUAAAAGCGAAGAAAUGGCCCAACAAAAAACUGUGCGCGAAUGUAAGGUUUUAAUUAGAAAAAUUCACCAUUCAGUAUGCCGACUGACUGCUGAAGAAAUAGAUAGUAUGCAAACCGAAGUUGCCUCCACGCUACCAAUAACAACGAUAGCUGCAGCAUUGGAAAUGGACGAGAAACUGAAAUGCGAGGAAUUUGCUACUGCAACUAGUAAUAAACAGUUUAUUUUAAAAACAAAGGGAAAUUCAGAUAAUUUACAUGAUGUGCUGAGACAUAUAUACACUGACGAAUUUUUGUUUUUGUGUAACUGGGACGGUAGAGGAGAGAAACAACCCCUAUCGAAAUUUCUACUGGCAUCUAACAUAUUAUAUGAUUCUUUCGUUACUUGUGGACUGGGGAAUUUCGAAAAACAAAUUCGGAAGUCCAUCGAAAUGAGCCACCAUAGGUACAAACAAAAGAAAUACAUGAAGCGAAAAGCUGUGGAGGAAUCGAACGAAUCCAAAUAGAUAAUAAUUAAAAAAAAAAUGUAGUCGGAUUUAAGAAUGUAUAAACAAAAAUGAAUUUUAAUAGUGUAACUAUAAUAGCUUUAAUAUGAAUGUUUAUUUUAAAAAUCUUCUAUAUCUUACUAUGUAAUUAAAUUUUUCUUAAAAAUAUUUAUAAAAAUGAAUUUAAAGUAAUCUAAUGUAAUUAGGAAAAUAUAAUAUUAUAGAUUAUUUUUAGUUUCUUAAACUCAAAAAAUUAUAAUAUAAAAACUAUUAAUGAAAUUAA
Bactrocera dorsalis (oriental fruit fly) is the source of this 4096-nucleotide long non-coding RNA. RefSeq lists it as uncharacterized. NCBI's taxonomy places the organism in Eukaryota, Metazoa, Arthropoda, Insecta, Diptera, Tephritidae. The record is from RefSeq and is a predicted model, not a curated record. The transcript has 4 exons.